GUUGUAUGGUUAAGCGACUAAGCGUAUACGGUGGAUGCCUUGGCAGUCAGAGGCGAUGAAGGACGUAGUAACUUGCGAAAAGCGUUGGCGAGCUAG
This 96-nucleotide ribosomal RNA is filed under the name Shewanella sp. Sh95. RNAcentral describes it as "partial 23S ribosomal RNA". It matches the Rfam family "Bacterial large subunit ribosomal RNA", at positions 1 to 89 of the family's 2925-position model. Lineage: Bacteria; Pseudomonadati; Pseudomonadota; Gammaproteobacteria; Alteromonadales; Shewanellaceae. The record is from RNAcentral.